GAUGAACGCUGACAGCAUGCUUAACACAUGCAAGUCAACUGGAAUGUGGGUUUUUAACUUAGGUUUGGGUGGCGGACGGGUGAGUAACGCGUAAAGAACUUGCCUCACAGCUAGGGACAACAUUUGGAAACGAAUGCUAAUACCUAAUAUUAUGAUAAUAGGGCAUCCUAUAAUUAUGAAAGCUAUAAGCGCUGGGAGAGAGCUUUGCGUCCCAUUAGCUAGUUGGAGAGGUAACGGCUCACCAAGGCGAUGAUGGGUAGCCGGCCUGAGAGGGUGAUCGGCCACAAGGGGUCUGAUACACGGCCGUUACUCCUGCGGGAGGCAGCUGUGGGGUAUUUUGGACAAUGGACCGAGCUUCUGAUCCAGCAAUUCUUUGUGCACGAUGAAGUUUUUCGUAAUGUAAAGUGCUUUCAGUUGGGAAGAAACAAAUGACGGUACCAACAGAAGAAGAGACGGCUAACUACGUG
This 467-nucleotide ribosomal RNA is filed under the name uncultured bacterium. Its description in RNAcentral is "partial 16S ribosomal RNA". It matches the Rfam family "Bacterial small subunit ribosomal RNA", at positions 28 to 507 of the family's 1533-position model. The record is from RNAcentral.